RNAcentral lists this ribosomal RNA (256 nucleotides) under uncultured bacterium. Its description in RNAcentral is "partial small subunit ribosomal RNA". It matches the Rfam family "Bacterial small subunit ribosomal RNA", at positions 26 to 285 of the family's 1533-position model. The record is from RNAcentral.
AGGACGAACGCUGGCGGCGUGCUUAACACAUGCAAGUCGAGCGGAAAGGCCCUUCGGGGUACUCGAGCGGCGAACGGGUGAGUAACACGUGAGCAAUCUGCCCCUAGCUCUGGGAUAGCUCCGGGAAACCGGGAUUAAUACCGGAUACGACUGCUACGGACAUCUGUGGUGGUGGAAAGUAACUUCGGCUAGGGAUGAGCUCGCGGCCUAUCAGGCUUGUUGGUGGGGUAACGGCCUACCAAGGCGACGACGGGUA